GACGAACGCUGGCGGCGUGCUUAACACAUGCAAGUCGAACGCUGAAGCUUGGUGCUUGCACUGGGUGGAUGAGUGGCGAACGGGUGAGUAAUACGUGAGUAACCUGCCCUUGACUCUGGGAUAAGCCUGGGAAACUGGGUCUAAUUCUGGAUACGACAUGUCACCGCAUGGUGGCGUGUGGAAAGGGUUUUACUGGUUUUGGAUGGGCUCACGGCCUAUCAGCUUGUUGGUGGGGUAAUGGCUCACCAAGGCGACGACGGGUAGCCGGCCUGAGAGGGUGACCGGCCACACUGGGACUGAGACACGGCCCAGACUCCUACGGGAGGCAGCAGUGGGGAAUAUUGCACAAUGGGCGAAAGCCUGAUGCAGCGACGCCGCGUGAGGGAUGACGGCCUUCGGGUUGUAAACCUCUUUCAGCACGGAAGAAGCGAAAGUGACGGUACGUGCAGAAGAAGCGCCGGCUAACUACGUG
Molecule: ribosomal RNA, 472 nt
Filed under: uncultured bacterium
Lineage: Bacteria
Description: partial 16S ribosomal RNA
Rfam family: Bacterial small subunit ribosomal RNA
Source: RNAcentral